CCUACGGGAGGCAGCAGUGAGGAAUAUUGGUCAAUGGGCGCGAGCCUGAACCAGCCAAGUCGCGUGAAGGAUGACGGUUCUACGGGUUGUAAACUUCUUUUAUAAAGGAAUAAAGUGCGGCACGUGUGCCUUUUUGUAUGUACUUUAUGAAUAAGGAUCGGCUAACUCCGUGCCAGCAGCCGCGGUAAUACGGAGGAUCCGAGCGUUAUCCGGAUUUAUUGGGUUUAAAGGGUGCGUAGAUGGGUUGUUAAGUCAGUUGUGAAAGUUUGCGGCUCAACCGUAAAAUUGCAAUUGAAACUGGCAGUCUUGAGUACAGGUGAGGUAGGCGGAAUUCGUGGUGUAGCGGUGAAAUGCUUAGAUAUCACGAAGAACUCCGAUUGCGAAGGCAGCUUGCUAAGCUGUCACUGACAUUGAUGCUCGAAAGUGUGGGGAUCAAACAGGAUUAGAUACCCCAGUAGUC
This 460-nucleotide ribosomal RNA is filed under the name uncultured bacterium. RNAcentral describes it as "partial 16S ribosomal RNA". It matches the Rfam family "Bacterial small subunit ribosomal RNA", at positions 338 to 795 of the family's 1533-position model. The record is from RNAcentral.